Molecule: transfer RNA, 71 nt
Filed under: Loxodonta africana (African savanna elephant)
Lineage: Eukaryota; Metazoa; Chordata; Mammalia; Proboscidea; Elephantidae
Rfam family: tRNA
About the family: Transfer RNA (tRNA) molecules are approximately 80 nucleotides in length. Their secondary structure includes four short double-helical elements and three loops (D, anti-codon, and T loops). Further hydrogen bonds mediate the characteristic L-shaped molecular structure. tRNAs have two regions of fundamental functional importance: the anti-codon, which is responsible for specific mRNA codon recognition, and the 3' end, to which the tRNAs corresponding amino acid is attached (by aminoacyl-tRNA synthetases). tRNAs cope with the degeneracy of the genetic code in two manners: having more than one tRNA (with a specific anti-codon) for a particular amino acid; and 'wobble' base-pairing, i.e. permitting non-standard base-pairing at the 3rd anti-codon position.
Source: Rfam by way of RNAcentral
GCAGUGGUGGUUUAGUGGUAGAAUUCUCGCCUUCCAUGUGGGAGGCCCGGUUUUGAUUCCUGGUCAAUGCA